GGAAGGGAAACCGGAAUUCCUGGGGUACGCGGUGAAAUGCGUAGAAAUCAGGAGGAACACCAGUGGCGAAGCCGGCUUUCUGGUCCGGAAUUGACGCUGAGGUACUAAAGCGUGGGUAGCAAACAGGAUUAGAUACCCUGGUAGUCCACGCCCUAAACGAUGGAUACUUGAUGUCGGGAUGUUCGGUCGUCUCGGUGUCGUAGCUAACGUGUUAAGUAUCCCGCCUGGGGACUACGGUCGCAAGACUGGAACUCAAAGGAAUUGACGGGGGCCCGCACCAGCGGUGGAACAUGUGGUUUAAUUCGAUGCAACGCGAAGAACCUUACCUGGGCUUGACAUAUAUAUGAAGUAUGUAAGAAAUUAUGUAUUCUGUUUGUUUUUUCAGACAGCAUAUAUACAGGUGAUGCAUGGCUGUCGUCAGCUCGUGUCGUGAGAUGUAGGGUUAAGUCCCUUAACGAGCGCAACCCUUGCUUUUAGUUGCCAUCAGGUAAUGCUGGGGACUCUAGAAGGACUGCCGAGGUUAACUCGGAGGAAGGUGGGGAUGACGUCAAGUCAGUAUGUCCCUUAUGUCCAGGGCUACACACGUGUUACAAUGGACGGUACAGAGUGCAGCUACGCCGUGAGGCUACGCAAAUCACUUAAAGCCGUUCCCAGUUCGGAUUGGAGUCUGCAAUUCGACUCCAUGAAGUUGGAAUCGCUAGUAAUCGCAGCACAGCAUGCUGCGGUGAAUACGUUCCCGGGCCUUGUACACACCGCCCGUCACGCCAUGGAAGUUGGGAGUACCCAAAGUUGC
This 793-nucleotide ribosomal RNA is filed under the name uncultured organism. RNAcentral's name for it is "bacterial SSU rRNA". It matches the Rfam family "Bacterial small subunit ribosomal RNA", at positions 651 to 1430 of the family's 1533-position model. The record is from RNAcentral.